RNAcentral lists this long non-coding RNA (8212 nucleotides) under Xyrichtys novacula (pearly razorfish). Lineage: Eukaryota; Metazoa; Chordata; Actinopteri; Labriformes; Labridae. The record is from RNAcentral.
GCGGUCGGUGGCUUUGUGUCGGUGUUAUCCCUCAUAUAAGUGCUAUUUAUCUUGACUGUGUCACGAAUAACUUGCCAUUUCUUUUUUCAACUGCAUAAGUAGACCAUUUUUGAAUCUACAAAAUCAUCUUCAGACAAUCUGUUUGUAUCUCUAGUUGUUGGUUGACAGGGUAAGGCCACUUCACUUUAUCUUCAUAUCUCAUCUCAGUUCACCUUUCUCUCUCUGCACCAUCUCUUACAAAUAUUUCUUUAUGAUCUUAUUCCAAGUAUAAGAUAUGUAAAGGCUUCUCGGCCGUUGUAUCGUGGCUUUGAAAUUUCAGACUGACACCGAACAGACUAAUUCCAGCGCUGGAGUGAGAGGAAGUUGUCCAAGAAAUUUAGAAACACAUUAAAAUCCAAUUAUGUGUCACAGUGUUCAGAAAGCAGUCCUUUCAAUGCAGCUACCACCUCUUUUCCUAUAAUUAAUACAGCUGCAAAGUACUUAUAUUUUUGUGAUCCAGUGGUAAAAAACUGCUUGCAGCUUGUGGCAUUCAAACAAAUUUCUAAAUCUAGACUUAGACACAUGUUAACAUAUUCUGAAGACUGAAACUGUGAGGGACAUGCUGACACACUUCAUACACACACAAAGAAAUGCUCUGUCUUUUCAACUACUCUUUUAAUACACAACAAAAGCGAUGGCCCCCCACCAAAUAUGAUUUCCAUUCUCGGACAAAGCGAGAGACUUUCUGCCCUGUUCUCCAUCCAGUCUCUCAUAAAAAGCUGUUUCUCUCCUUCUCUUUUACCCCUCUCUCUCUCUCUCUCUCCUGUUACUCUAACCCCCUACACCCACCCACCCAUCCAGCUAACCCCCUUUUGAAAUGCGCACAGUACAUUAGAUAAAAAGAGUAUUGAGAGAGUCAAGAGUGAUUCAGGGGGUCUGUUUGAUGAGGUGGAUAAUAUGCCUCAUACUGGUGCUCCAUGACACUCAGGUCAGUGCUCUGUAGAGGGCUAACACAGGCAGCUGGGCCUGUCCACCUACACACACACACACACACACACACACACACACACACACACACACACACACACACACACACACACACACACUUCCUCCUCUAAAGCAUGCCCUGUGUCUGUAUCCAACUGGGCCAGGCUCUGAGUAUUUAAGAAACAGUACAAAACUUACACCCGUUGUGUCCAAGCUGAUCAUGCUUUUGUUAAAUCUGGAUCAGAUUAUUAUCACUCUCUAUUCACCUGUUUCAGAAACACUCUUUGAACUGGCUGUAAGAAGUCAAAAAAUACGGGAUCUGUUAAAAUUUUGUGGACCAUCAGUUUGUGGUUGAAUUACCAACCGCGCAACAACCAAAGGUUUUUGAUGUUGGUAACAGAUCCAGUGUUUCAAGCUCAAUAACUCAUCUUAAUAACCACUGAUGUUUCUAACUGGUAAGGUCCUUACACACCAGGACCGACGCAAAUAAAGAACACGAAAUUACGAAAUAUUCGGAGGCGAAUUUUGGCACGCCUGACUAUACACAUCAAGCCUGAUGCGAUUUUGAGACUUUCCAGGGGGAAAAAGACGUGUCCCGGAUUCAGUUCUGAUUAGACACUAGUGUUGAGAUGGCUGUCUGUCAUGAUAGCAUGUACUGAGUCGGGGCCAGUUCCAGAUAAGCGCAUUAAACUAUAAUCCAUAAACGUAAGGUAACAACCGAGACCUAAUGGUGCUGUGACAGCAACGUGAUUGAGUUUGAGACAGUGAAAAUACAUAUGGUAUGUUGUAUCUGAACAGGUUAGCUUACGAGCUAAAGUUACUUAGCACAGAUGAAAGUUAAAACAAAAACGUUUAGCAAACUGUUAAAGCACACAAAUAUCGUCAUAUAAGAGAUCCGCCACUAUGACUCUCCACAAGUUGUCCUUCAGGUCGUUAUCUUUGCAAUAUUUGUGUCUUUUAUCAAAAACCACUCUGUUCUCCGACAUGUAAACAAUCAGCCGGUCGGCCAUGUUGGAUAUACUGAUGAAUCAGAUGUCACAACAACACGCAAUCUGAUUGGUCAGAAGUGGACACACAGUAUGCAAAACUUUAGAAAAAUUGGCCGUGUUCCGAAAAAAUAUUCGGACAUCUGUAAUAAUCGAACAAUAAAACAGUUCCGGUGUGAAAGGACCUGUAGAGGAUCAUUUUUGCCUCUACUGAAAGAAGUCCAAACCAUUUCAGCACAGCACUGAUAAUAAAGGGCCCCAUGACUCCAGCUAUGAUCCAAGAUGGCUCAACCGAUUGAAUCCAGAAUGAAGGAGAGAGAGUAACAGGAAGAGAGGGAAACAUGAUGCAGAGGUACAAGUCAUGACGCUGAGUGUUUGUGUGUGAGAGAGAAAGAGAGAUGGGGGGGGGGGGGGGGCAGGAAGAGAGAGAGAGGGUGCAAACCGCAUGUUCAGGCAGAAUCAGGUCAUGAUAAACAGCCCCAACAGAAGACAGAAAGAAAUAAUAGAAAAAUAAUGCAGCUGGGCAUGAGUUUGUGUGUGUGUGUGUGUGUGUGUGUGUGUGUGUGUGUGUGUGUGUGUGUGUGUGUGUGUGUCUGCCUGGUUGGCUAGUUUGAGCUGCUGCCUGCCUGUUGGUGUCUUGCUGGCUGACUGGCCUUGGCUAAUUGCGAACUGGUUUAAUCUAUGUGGGCACUGAGCCAUUCACCUUGGCAUCGGCAGAUGACCGCUUCUGUGUGACGGCCUGUUUUCAUCAGGCCCGGUUAGGGUGCAGACUGUGGCACCUGGGGAAGAAUGACAGAAGUGUUACAAAUCAAUAUUUCUUGCAUUAAAAAAAGGUCAAAGCACAGAAUGGUAAAAAUAAUGGCUUUAGUUGAUAAAAUGCAAAUCUGGGCUUCUUUGGUUCAAAACAUAUAGAAAAGGGUCACUUUCCUUACUAAAGUGAGGUAGCAGAAGGGACUUGUUUUGCUGUCAGUCUAAUUCUUGAAGUAGAUGGUGAAGAAACUCUGUUAUUGUUGUUUUUUUUUUUUUUUUUAAAGCUACAUUACCAACAGUGUGGGCUGCCAAACAGAAAAAAGAACUUACUGCAUAGUGCUUUUUUAUUUCAACGAGUUGUAAACACAGACAACUGUAACAUGAAGGAGGUGAGAAACACACACACUAUAAAGGGGAAAGUUUUGUAACUUUAGAAAAAAAAAAACAUACACAGACAGUAUGGUUCACAGGAUGACGAACCGCAUCCUUAUCAGGCAUCAAAAACCCACUAAAGCAUCAUGACAGCUGACCCACUGGAGUGGUUUUUAGUCGACAGGCCAGUGUAAACAUUCAGAUAUUGAUGAUGCACCACUUUACUGCAACAAUUCACAUACCCUGUUUUCUCACUGGUGCUGAUAAGACAGUACUUGAUUAAAAGAAAAACAAAACAAAAAAAACAUGAAUUGACUUGUGCUGCGUUCCAGUUACUUUUGAAGUCGGAUGUCAGAGCUAGGAAUGACGUUACACCCGAGUUGACAGCUUUCCAGUUAACAAGUUGGAAAACCAAGAUAGACCCCUACAGUUACCCGUUGUUAGCUGUUGUUUACAAUUGUCAGCUGUCGUUAGCCGUUGUUAGCGGUUGUCGUAGCACCAUGUUCACAGUUAGACGUUGGGCAGUUCAUCUUAUACCACUUAUUUAAUUUCACAAAAAACAAAACAAAACAGAAGUGCUAAUAAAUAAUACAUUGCAAGAGCUUUCACUGUUACUCUUUACUGUUGAUGCACUGCGCUGCCCUCUUGAAUUAUGACAUUGUCGUCAAGUCAGGGUUGGUGAGAAUCGCCCAAAUUUCCAAGUAGGAAAUCCCACUUCAGGGGGGCGUUCCAGAUGAAUUUCCGACUUGGAGCUCUGAAAUUCCGACUUCUGAGUACAACUGGAAUGCAGCAUUGUACAUACAUUAAAAUAAAAGAAAAAAGACAGACAGCUGGACCUGGUAUGACAUCAGAUGAAUCAGUGAAACUCCUUCAUGUGGGUUUAUUAAUCUGUGUACUUUAGAAACUUUGGGGAAAUUGAGUUGGAAACACAAUCAGAAAAGUAGCGUAUACUGGAGGCUGUCAGCUAAUAUAGACUGUUCAGAAAAUCAGACUGUGAACUGUUAGUGUAGCCUGAGUUAAAACCAAAACAUUUUGAAAACACACUUUCUGCUUGAUCCUAUAGAGGAUCAGCCUCGUAAACCUCUUUCCAGCCUGCUGCUGUGACUCACAGAUGAAUCCCGAAAACCACUUUGUAAAGGGAGCAGACUGAGGAUUUCAGGCUCGGUGGUGGUGUGUUGUAACCAAAUGUGGAAGUGUAUGUUUAAAGAAUAAACUAGUCCUCUUUUAUGACUCCUCCAGCCUUUCAGCUGGCUCACCGCAGAGCUCUUUGGGCUCUGUGUUGGGAUGAAUAGGGACCACAGUGUCUGGAACUGGCCGCCACUUGCCUGCCAAUCAAUUUGUUUAACUCCCCAGGCGAGGGCAGUGAUUGGUGGACCCUGCACACACACUCCCUUCCUGCCAACAAAGCACCCCAUAUGCCCUCCCAGCAGGGGCCGGCCCUGGUUUUGGGGCCCAUGCAUUUAGAGACCCCGUUAUAGGAAUUUGGAGCUAAUAGGAUGAAAGGACUACCAUCAGUGAAUUGAAGCACGGAGCUAAUCAAGUGGAAUGCACAUUCAGAGUGUCACUCAUCAGUCGGCCUGCAGCUCUAUUUCACAGUCCCCACACUCACAGCGCAGCAGAGACACACACUGAACACUCUCAGAAACAUGGAGGUUAAUCCAAUUCCAGCAUAAUAAUGUGAGUUAAACAAGUAUCAUGAUAAAAUCAUUGUUCUUCAGCUGUUUCUGUGUGUCUGAAUGGCCUUUGAAUUCAAAUCUCUAAUACAUCUGAUGUUUUACCAGAGGAUAUCCCAGCAUUUCUUAACCUGGGUGAGUGAGCUGAAGGAAAAAAAUGAAAAUGAAUCAGCAUAAGUUUUUAAAUAACACCUCUGUCCCUGACUUAAGCACACUGAAGGGCUCUUCCUGUAUUUGGAGGCCUGUCACAGCUAUCAGGAGGUUCAAUCACCAAAGGAUCCUCAGCCUUUAGAGAAGUACACACCAAACAGCUACUGCAGGUGAGACUUAUUUUAGCAGACUGUCAAACAGCUGUUUCAUGCUGGGUCCUGUUGGACACCUGAUGAUAAUGAUGGGGUGUUGAUACAUAGACUUCCAUGAACAAAAUAACACAUAACAAGCAAACAAGAAGCUGGCAUCCUAAACCUCACUCAAAGCAGUGGUUUUCAACUGGUGGGUCCUGACCCAAAAGUGGGUCACGGACAUGUUCUGGAUGGGUCCCGAACAGCUGGUCAAAAAAGUAAAUAUUUAAUGCAAUAUUAAUUAGAUAUUUGAUGUUUUUGGAACAAGCAACUUCAGUUGUUGUCGUCCUCAUGUUGUCCCCUUCAUGUGCUCUGAAAUGCACUUUACUCAAUAAAACAAGAGGAUUUAUGAUAAAGAUUAGAGUCUUUAAAGGUUUUUUUUUAUAUAUAAAAUUAAAUUUGCUUAGUUUGAAUUCUGUAAAAAUGGGUCGCGACUUAAGGACCAUGGGAAAGUGUGGGUCCCAGAGUGGGACCAGUUAAGAACCACUGCUCAAAGUUUCAUAGCAGGUAUGUCACAGUUGUAAAUCUUGAAUUAUUCGACAAAACACCUGGAACGUUGUUGUCCUGUGUCUGCAAACAGCUGUGAUUAGCACAAAAGAAAACAGAUGAGGGCUGUCACAAUAUCAGGUUCUAUCCUCACUGUUAUCAUGGCCCAGAAAAUUACAAUAAGGAUGAUAUUUCUUCAUUUAUUGAUUAUUACAAAUAUAGAAAAAAAGGCUGCCUUUUGUCGUAUUGAGUAAAAGAUAAAGAUGAAGCAACAAUACCCUUGUACACUUCUAAACUUUGACCAUUUUUUCAUAUUUAAAUGUCUCAUUUUUAAUUAUGUCUCAUUUUUACCUCGUUUGUUCUUAAACACAAUAAUUAAUGCCUACAUUUUUAAUCACUGCAGUUUUACUUUGAGUUUGCUCUGUUUAUGUAUGGAUCUCUGCGGUCAACUUGUCUUACCUAACCCUGCUUACCUCAGUGUCAGCAAUUAAUUAUUUCCAAUGAUGUUCAAUGUUCAUGUUUUGUACACACCACCAGCCCUGUGACAGACUCCAGAGAUUAAACACAUUCAUGUGAUUCUGCUUUUCAGAAUGACAUUAACGCAUUAAUGUAUGAGAUCUCAGUGGUGAAUGCAACAAUGAUGAAUGUUAGAGGAUUUCCAAACAGUAAAUCCUCUCCUGACAUGUCUGCUGAUGUUGCAGGCCACAGAGCAGAGUUGUUUCUUGUUCCAUCAGGAUUUAAGACCCUUGACUAAACACUACAGUUAUGUUGUUGUGCCGGCUCAGUUGGCAAACAGUUCCACAAUUUUGCCUUAAAAAACAGAUUAAGAACCAAUACUGCCCUCUACUCUCAACUAAUUAAUUACACAGAAUUACUAUUUGAUUGUUUUAGUACAAUAUUUGUAUUUUAUUUUAUUUUUUAAGAAAGUUAGGCCUGCACAUUGAGUUUGAGGCAGUGAAAAUACAUAUGGCAUGCUGUAUCUGAACAGGUUAGUUUAUGAGCUAAAGUUACUUAGCACAGAUGAAAGUUAAAACAAAGACGUUUAGCAAACUGUUAAAGCACACUAACUAUUGUCAUAUGAGAGAUCCAACGCUAUGACUCUCCACAAGUUGUCGUUAAGGUUGUUAUCUUUGUAAUGUUUGUGUCUUUUAUCAAACAAUAAACGUAAACAAUCUGCUGGUCGGCCAUGUUGGAUAUACCGGUGAAUCUGUCGUCGCAACAACACGCAAUCUGAUUGGUCAGACGUGGACACACAAUAUGUGAAACUUUAGAAAAUCGACCAUGAUCCAAAAAAAAUAAAUGUCGCAAUAUCGCAGGACGGGAAAACGUCUCUGGUGUGAACACUUGUAUUGACAGAAUAUGGGUUUGAAAAAAAAUAUUAACAUCCGAAAUAAUCGUACGAAAAAGACAGUCCCGGUGUGAAAGGACCUUUACUUUUAAUCUGAUCCUGCGAGCAUCACCUUAAACUUUUUUCUUCUGACAGCCAGUAUAGGAGGUUCCAUUGAGAUUAUUUCAUGAUAUCUUGAGGUCAGAUUCUAGAUUUUGGAUUACUGGAUCAUCAGAUUUUCUCCUUGGGUUGUGUUCCCACAUUGGUCUUUUCUUGGAUGAUGAAGCAUCGAUGCAGCACUCUGAAGGGGAGAUUAAUCUAAUGCAGUUACUAACAAAUAAAAGUUAACCAGAGCAAAGACCAAUUUGUUAUCAGUUUCAUAUUUUAUCCCUGCUUUAAAGAUCAAUCUGCAUUUAACCAUUUAACCCAGAUUAGUGUUCGUGACAGGGUGGGGAUUUUUAAUUACGUCCCUGAAGGACAGGUUUUUGCUGACUCUGAUUGUUUUUUUUUCUUAGAAGCUUUCCGAGAAUAUUUUUUGGAUUAGUAAAAUCAAUCCAAUUACACUCUAACCUCAGAAACAUAUUGAAACCAUUGCGUCUGAAAGGAUUUCAGGACAGAUUUAUCCUCCCAAACCAUCGCUUUUACAUCUGUGGGCCAUUUGAAGCCUCUCGCUCUCCUCUUAAUCUCAAAGCUGAUUGUUUUCAUGCAACAGAGUUAUUUGGAAAUAGUUGUUAAUCUCCAUCCCUGGCUGAGUCUGUUUUGGUUCAGACAUAAUCUGCCAGAGUCUGAUUGAGCUGCAUAAUCCCUGGAUGUUGAAAUGGAUGGCCCCCGCCCCCAGCCCCUGCAGCCUCUAUUGGAUAUCUCUGUUGGUGGCAGCAGAGGUGACCCCACCCCCCUCUCCUCCGGCGUAGCUUCUCUACUGUAUGAGUCUGCCCUGGGGGCUAAACAAUAUGCUCCUAUUUUUUAAUUAUCAACAUUUAAAUCUCUGAGAUCUGCUCUGUCUGGCUAAGGAGGUGAUGUGAUGAUUGGCUUCCCCUUUCUCUCUGUUUUCUUUUUCACCCUCUCUGCAUCCACCCUCCCCAAGUGCUGCAACAGGAACUGAUUCAGGGUCAGCGCCUGGUCUCCCAUGCCGUCACGUAGCAGUGAAGGGGUGGAUUGCAUAAAAGAGCUCAGAUGGACGUCUGGAGCUGCAGUGGGACUGAGUGCAGCCGUUGGGGGGAGCAGUGAGGUGGAAGUGAUUGACAGCUGGGCUGGUCCAGGAAUGAAUGGAGGAUCAAUGACACAUAUCAACAGACAACUACAAGAUUUAGG